Molecule: ribosomal RNA, 463 nt
Filed under: uncultured bacterium
Lineage: Bacteria
Description: partial 16S ribosomal RNA
Rfam family: Bacterial small subunit ribosomal RNA
Source: RNAcentral
GAUGAACGCUGACAGAAUGCUUAACACAUGCAAGUCGAUGAGGAAGUGGUGCUUGCACCAUGGUAACCAUGGCGGACGGGUGAGCAACGCGUAAGGAACUUGCCUGCGGGACUGGGAUAACAGCAGGAAACUGCUGAUAAUACCGGAUAAGGUCAUUAAGCUGCAUAGCUUAGUGAUGAAAGGAGACGCCUGCGGAGAGCCUUGCGUCCUAUUAGCUAGUUGGAGGGGUAACGGCCCACCAAGGCGAAGAUAGGUAGCCGGCCUGAGAGGGUGGACGGCCACAAGGGGACUGAGAUACGGCCCUUACUCCUACGGGAGGCAGCAGUGGGGAAUAUUGGACAAUGGGGGCAACCCUGAUCCAGCAAUUCUGUGUGCACGAAGACGGUUUUCGGAUUGUAAAGUGCUUUCAGCAGGGAAGAAGGAAGUGACGGUACCUGCAGAAGAAGCGACGGCUAAAUACGUG